Molecule: ribosomal RNA, 252 nt
Filed under: uncultured prokaryote
Description: partial 16S ribosomal RNA
Rfam family: Bacterial small subunit ribosomal RNA
Source: RNAcentral
UACGUAGGGGGCGAGCGUUGUCCGGAUUUACUGGGCGUAAAGCGCGCGUAGGCGGGAGGUGAAGUCCGGUGGGAAAGCCCACGGCUCAACCGUGGAAGAACGCUGGAAACUCACCUCUUGAGGGCGGCAGAGGGAAGUGGAAUUGCUGGUGUAGCGGUGAAAUGCGUAGAUAUCAGCAGGAACACCCGUGGCGAAGGCGGCUUCCUGGGCCGCCCCUGACGCUGAGGCGCGAAAGCGUGGGGAGCGAACGGG